ACUAUGCACUAGGCAUGACUGCAUGAAUGACAAAGCGGAGGUAGAAAUAUAACUAAUCUUUUGAGAAGUUUGGAUGAGAAAAUACUGAAAAAUAUUUGACGGUUCUGAGAACGAAAAGUUGCUUACAGGGAAGUUUGUUUGUUUAUGACGUCGGUAUGUAAAGGCUCAGAGAUAAGAGGAAGUUGAGAGGAAGAGGUUGAAAAUACAGGGCUAAGAGGUAAGAGGUAAGAUGAUCCUUAACUAACAAAGCAAGACUCCAGAGGAAUCAGGAUGGCACUGCGUUCUUGGUUUAAAAUGGUUGAUAACUGUUCCAGUAUUCUUCAUAGAUCAUUGCCAGAAGUACAGUGAUCUCAUUGAUAUAAAGUAUUAGUUCCCUUAAAGAACUUAAGAGAGUGGUUCCCAGACUGAAAAAGAAAAAAAGACUAUGGAAGCAUGAUAUAAAUACAGAUUCCUGAGCCAUAUCCUCCUCAAGAUUCUGAUUUGGUAGGUCUGGAAUGGGCCCAGGGAUUUGCAUUUUCACCAAUCACAUUAAAUAAUUCCAAUGUAGGAGGAUGGUGAAUCAUGGUUUGAGUCAUUAAUAUAACCAAUAGUCCCAGUUCCUACUAUACUAAUAAAAUGCAGUGGACAAUAGGUGUUAAAGGUUUUGGUAUAAACCUGUAGAUAAUAAAAUGACUGCAAAAGGGAAAACAACUUAUUUUAACCACUAAAUUUACUGCUCAGUUUCUUCCCUCCUCCUCUAAGACACUCCUUCUUUUUCUUCUCUUUUUUCUUUCAGAAACUCCCAAAGCUAUAGGCAUUUGGGAAGCCUGAAUUCAGUAGUCAAAGAAGAUGCCACCAUUUCAAUUAUUUUCAACUAUCAGUUUGAUCAUUAGGUUUUGGUAUCAAUGAAUAUUUAACCAAAUUUGACACCAAAACAUAUCUUUGAAUUAUUAAUUAAGUAAAGGGACAGGUAAAAUUCCCAACUUUCAGAAAAAGUAGCAUCUCAUAUAUUUCAUUUUCAACUUGCUUGACACUUUGCAAGGAAUAUUUGUAUAUCACUGUGGCACAAAUUUAACAAGCUUAAGCUUAAUGAGUGUGAGGAAAAUAUUUCAGUGUGCAAGCCAGAAUGAUCACUUGUCGGAAAAGAGGAAGAGGAUUCCUGAAAGUUCUGUGCUCCAAAAUAUGAAUGUGGUACAAGGCCAAAGAAUGAAUAACACUUCCAAGAAAAACAAUUAGCAGCAGGCAAAGUCAGGAAGGCAUUAGAAAGGAAAAAAAUCAAAUACAGAAACGUGUAGCUGACUGAGGAACUUUGAGGACCAUUUGUACCCUAUUGAAAAAUAUAUGUAGAUCUGAUGAGUACUUUCAAGCAAAAUCAUUAUUUCACUGGGCGUAGAGAAUAUGGUGGGUACUGAUAGGAGGGAGAAAGUGUUGGUUUAUAAGAACAAUAAAAAUGGUCUGUGUAUUAGUUUCCUAGGGCUGCUGUAAUGGCACAGCACAAACUGAGUGGCUUAAAUAAGAUAUUAUUUUCUCCAGUUCUGGAGGCUUGAAAUCAUGACAAAGGUGUUGGCAGGGUUAGUUUUGUCUGAGUCCCCUUUCAUUGGCAUAUGGAUGACCAUCUUCUCCUGUGUCUUCACAGUGUGUCUGCAUUUAAAAAGCAUUUGAGGAGUUCCCUUCGUGGCGCAGUGGUUAACGAAUCCGAC
Sus scrofa (pig) is the source of this 1679-nucleotide non-coding RNA. Lineage: Eukaryota; Metazoa; Chordata; Mammalia; Artiodactyla; Suidae. The record is from RefSeq and is a predicted model, not a curated record.